RNAcentral lists this ribosomal RNA (584 nucleotides) under uncultured bacterium. RNAcentral's name for it is "partial 16S ribosomal RNA". It matches the Rfam family "Bacterial small subunit ribosomal RNA", at positions 355 to 1375 of the family's 1533-position model. The record is from RNAcentral.
UGGGGAAUUUUGGACAAUGGGCGAAAGCCUGAUCCAGCAAUGCCGCGUGUGUGAAGAAGGCCUUCGGGUUGUAAAGCACUUUUGUCCGGAAAGAAAUCCUUGGCUCUAAUACAGUCGGGGGAUGACGGUACCGGAAGAAUAAGCACCGGCUAACUACGUGCCAGCAGCCGCGGUAAUACGUAGGGUGCAAGCGUUAAUCGGAAUUACUGGGCGUAAAGCGUGCGCAGGCGGUUUGCUAAGACCGAUGUGAAAUCCCCGGGCUCAACCUGGGAACUGCAUUGGUGACUGGCAGGCUAGAGUAUAGCAGAGGGGGGUAGAAUUCCACGUGUAGCAGUGAAAUGCGUAGAGAUGUGGAGGAAUACCGAUGGCGAAGGCAGCCCCCUGGCCAAUACUGACGCUCAUGCACGAAAGCGUGGGGAGCAAACAGGAUUAGAUACCCUGGUAGUCCACGCCCUAAACGAUGUCAACUAGUUGUUGGGUCUUCAUUGACUUGGUAACGUAGCUAACGCGUGAAGUUGACCGCCUGGGGAGUACGGUCGCAAGAUUAAAACUCAAAGGAAUUGACGGGGUCAUAGCUGUUUCCU